AUACGGAGGAUCCGAGCGUUAUCCGGAUUUAUUGGGUUUAAAGGGAGCGUAGGUGGAUUGUUAAGUCAGUUGUGAAAGUUUGCGGCUCAACCGUAAAAUUGCAGUUGAAACUGGCAGUCUUGAGUACAGUAGAGGUGGGCGGAAUUCGUGGUGUAGCGGCGAAAUGCUUAGAUAUCACGAAGAACUCCGAUUGCGAAGGCAGCUCACUAGACUGUUACUGACACUGAUGCUCGAAAGUGUGGGUAUCAAACAGGAUUAGAUACCCUGGUAGUCCACACAGUAAACGAUGAAUACUCGCUGUUUGCGAUAUACAGUAAGCGGCCAAGCGAAAGCAUUAAGUAUUCCACCUGGGGAGUACGCCGGCAACGGUGAAACUCAAAUGAAUUGACGGGG
This 393-nucleotide ribosomal RNA is filed under the name uncultured bacterium. RNAcentral's name for it is "partial 16S ribosomal RNA". It matches the Rfam family "Bacterial small subunit ribosomal RNA", at positions 523 to 918 of the family's 1533-position model. The record is from RNAcentral.